This 301-nucleotide ribosomal RNA is filed under the name uncultured bacterium. Its description in RNAcentral is "partial 16S ribosomal RNA". It matches the Rfam family "Bacterial small subunit ribosomal RNA", at positions 509 to 807 of the family's 1533-position model. The record is from RNAcentral.
CAGUCGCCGCGGUAAUACGUAGGGUGCGAGCGUUGUUCGGAAUUACUGGGCGUAAAGAGCUCGUAGGCGGUUUGUCGCGUCGUAUGUGAAAUUCUGCAGCUUAACUGUAGGCGUGCAGGCGAUACGGGCAGACUUGAGUACUACAGAGGAGACUGGAAUUCCUGGUGUAGCGGUGAAAUGCGCAGAUAUCAGGAGGAACACCGGUGGCGAAGGCGGGUCUCUGGGUAGUAACUGACGCUGAGGCGCGAAAGCGUGGGUAGCGAACAGGAUUAGAUACCCCAGUAGUCCCUGUCUCUUAUAC